RNAcentral lists this ribosomal RNA (265 nucleotides) under uncultured archaeon. RNAcentral's name for it is "partial 16S ribosomal RNA". It matches the Rfam family "Archaeal small subunit ribosomal RNA", at positions 717 to 982 of the family's 1478-position model. The record is from RNAcentral.
ACACGACUACAUUAAGAUACCCGUGUAGUCCUAGCCGUAAACGAUACUCGCUAGGUGUCGGCCACGGUGCGACCGUUGUCGGUGCCGUAGGGAAGCCGUGAAGCGAGCCACCUGGGAAGUACGGCCGCAAGGCUGAAACUUAAAGGAAUUGGCGGGGAGCACAACAACGGGUGGAGCUUGCGGUUUAAUUGGAUUCAACGCCGGAAAUCUUACCGGGACCGACAGCAACAUGAAGGCCAAGCUGAAGACUUUGCCGGAUUAGCUG